UGGGGAAUUUUGGACAAUGGGCGAAAGCCUGAUCCAGCAAUGCCGCGUGUGUGAAGAAGGCCUUCGGGUUGUAAAGCACUUUUGUCCGGAAAGAAAUCCUUGGCUCUAAUACAGUCGGGGGAUGACGGUACCGGAAGAAUAAGCACCGGCUAACUACGUGCCAGCAGCCGCGGUAAUACGUAGGGUGCAAGCGUUAAUCGGAAUUACUGGGCGUAAAGCGUGCGCAGGCGGUUUGCUAAGACCGAUGUGAAAUCCCCGGGCUCAACCUGGGAACUGCAUUGGCGACUGGCAGGCUAGAGUAUGGCAGAGGGGGGUAGAAUUCCACGUGUAGCAGUGAAAUGCGUAGAGAUGUGGAGGAAUACCGAUGGCGAAGGCAGCCCCCUGGGCCAAUACUGACGCUCAUGCACGAAAGCGUGGGGAGCAAACAGGAUUAGAUACCCUGGUAGUCCACGCCCUAAACGAUGUCAGCUAGUUGUUGGGGAUUCAUUUCCUUAGUAACGUAGCUAACGCGUGAAGUUGACCGCCUGGGGAGUACGGUCGCAAGAUUAAACUUAAUGAAUUGACGGGGUCAUAGCUG
This 577-nucleotide ribosomal RNA is filed under the name uncultured bacterium. Its description in RNAcentral is "partial 16S ribosomal RNA". It matches the Rfam family "Bacterial small subunit ribosomal RNA", at positions 355 to 932 of the family's 1533-position model. The record is from RNAcentral.